This 484-nucleotide ribosomal RNA is filed under the name uncultured bacterium. RNAcentral describes it as "partial 16S ribosomal RNA". It matches the Rfam family "Bacterial small subunit ribosomal RNA", at positions 30 to 507 of the family's 1533-position model. The record is from RNAcentral.
AUUGAACGCUGGCGGAAUGCUUUACACAUGCAAGUCGAGCGGCAGCACGGGUGCAACCCUGGUGGCGAGCGGCGAACGGGUGAGUAAUACAUCGGAACAUGCCCAGUCGUGGGGGAUAACACUUCGAAAGAAGUGCUAAUACCGCAUACGUCCUGAGGGGGAAAGCGGGGGAUCGCAAGACCUCGCGCGAUUGGAGUGGCCGAUGUCAGAUUAGCUAGUUGGUGGGGUAAAGGCCUACCAAGGCAACGAUCUGUAGCUGGUCUGAGAGGAUGAUCAGCCACACUGGGACUGAGACACGGCCCAGACUCCUACGGGAGGCAGCAGUGGGGAAUUUUGGACAAAGGGGGCAACCCUGAUCCAGCCAUUCCGCGUGAGUGAAGAAGGCCUUCGGGUUGUAAAGCUCUUUCGGCAGGAACGAAACGGUGAGCUCUAACAUAGCUUGCUAAUGACGGUACCUGAAGAAGAAGCACCGGCUAACUACGUG